CCUUGCACACACUGCCCGUCGCUUCAUCGAAGUUGGUUCUUGGCGAGGUGGUGUCUAAUUGGCACUAUCGAACCUGGGGUCAGCAACGAGGGAG
RNAcentral lists this ribosomal RNA (94 nucleotides) under uncultured bacterium. Its description in RNAcentral is "partial 16S ribosomal RNA". The record is from RNAcentral.